GUCUAUGGCCAUGCCACCCUGAAUGUGCCUGAUCCCAUCUGAUCUUGGAAGCUAAGCAGGGUUGGGCCUGGUUAGUACUGGGAUGGGAGACCACCUAGGAAGACCAGGUGCUGUAGGUG
RNAcentral lists this ribosomal RNA (119 nucleotides) under Pteropus alecto (black flying fox). Lineage: Eukaryota; Metazoa; Chordata; Mammalia; Chiroptera; Pteropodidae. The record is from RNAcentral.